AUUGAACGCUGGCGGCAGGCCUAACACAUGCAAGUCGAGCGGAUGAAGGGAGCUUGCUCCUGGAUUCAGCGGCGGACGGGUGAGUAAUGCCUAGGAAUCUGCCUGGUAGUGGGGGAUAACGUCCGGAAACGGGCGCUAAUACCGCAUACGUCCUGAGGGAGAAAGUGGGGGAUCUUCGGACCUCACGCUAUCAGAUGAGCCUAGGUCGGAUUAGCUAGUUGGUGGGGUAAAGGCCUACCAAGGCGACGAUCCGUAACUGGUCUGAGAGGAUGAUCAGUCACCCUGGAACUGAGACACGGUCCAGACUCCUACGGGAGGCAGCAGUUGGGAAUAUUGGACAAUGGGCGAAAGCCUGAUCCAGCCAUGCCGCGUGUGUGAAGAAGGUCUUCGGAUUGUAAAGCACUUUAAGUUGGGAGGAAGGGCAGUAAGUUAAUACCUUGCUGUUUUGACGUUACCAACAGAAUAAGCACCGGCUAACUUCGUG
Molecule: ribosomal RNA, 484 nt
Filed under: uncultured bacterium
Lineage: Bacteria
Description: partial 16S ribosomal RNA
Rfam family: Bacterial small subunit ribosomal RNA
Source: RNAcentral